RNAcentral lists this ribosomal RNA (468 nucleotides) under uncultured bacterium. RNAcentral describes it as "partial 16S ribosomal RNA". It matches the Rfam family "Bacterial small subunit ribosomal RNA", at positions 28 to 507 of the family's 1533-position model. The record is from RNAcentral.
GACGAACGCUGGCGGCGUGCUUAACACAUGCAAGUCGAACGAAAACGCCCGGCUUUUUUGGGGUGCUCGAGUUGAGACGGGGGGAGUAACACGUGAGUACCCUGCAACUCACUGUGGGAGGACCUCAGAACACUGGGUCUAAUACGAGAUAGGAGCUACUGCCGCAGGGUGGGGGUGGGAUAGUUUCGGUGGUUGGGGAUGGAUUCGCGUAUUAUCAGCUUGUUGGUGGGGUAGUGGCUUACCAAGGCUUUGACGGGUAGCAGGCCUGAGAGGGUGACAGGCCAAACUGGGACGGAGAUACGGCCCAGACUAGUACGGGAGGCAGCAGUGGGGAAUAUUGUACAAGGGGCGGAAGCCUGAUGUAGCAACGCCGCGUGGGGGGUGACGGCAAGCGGGUUGUAAACCACUUUCGCUUGUGACGAAGCGAUAGUGACGGUAACGGGUAAAGAAGCACCGGCUAACUACGUG